Molecule: ribosomal RNA, 298 nt
Filed under: Halalaimus sp. 99L19E15
Lineage: Eukaryota; Metazoa; Nematoda; Enoplea; Enoplida; Oxystominidae
Description: partial 18S ribosomal RNA
Rfam family: Eukaryotic small subunit ribosomal RNA
Source: RNAcentral
AGAUUAAGCCAUGCAUGUAUCAGCACAAGCCUCAAAAUGGUGAAGCCGCGAAUAGCUCAUUACAACAGUCGUAGUUUAUUAGAAAGUACCAUAUGGAUAACUGUGGUAAUUCUAGAGCUAAUACAUGUUCCAAUCCCCGACUUACGAAGGGGUGCAUUUAUUAGAACAAAGCCGAUCAGACUAUGUCUGUCUCAGGUUGACUCUGAAUAACUUUGCUAAUCGCACAGUCCUUGUACUGGCGAUGUAUCUUUCAAAUGUCUGCCUUAUCAACUGUUGAUGGUAGAUUAUGCGCCUACCA